AUGUUUCGGUAAAUCACGGGUUACAUUUGCUUGGUCGUUGGAACUGGUGGUUGGAACGGAUAAUAAUAAUAAUAAUAAUAAUUAGCUGUUAAUCAUAAUUAAAAAGUCAAAACCGUGUAAAUUUACAAGUCCAACCUUCAAAAUGUCGUUUAUUUCAGUUUCUUUGGCGGCAGUCUUCUUCUUCUUCUUCUUUCCUUCACAAUCGAUUUGGCAAUUUCACUUCUCUCUCUCUCUCUCCCUCCCUCCAAACAUUGUGUUGAUUGUUGUUUUGUUGUCUGGUAUGUCCUCUAACCAUGCCUCCACAGAUGAAGCCCAACCCCAAGAAUCAGCAACAGAGGAAAUGGGCUGAACUGUGUUGUUUGGAUUGGUCGUGCAUACAGCUGUUCUGGCCCAGAGUUGUGAUGCGCAAAUGGCUCAACAUCUCCGCCAAAGAGUCCGAUUACAGCGCCGAUACCGAAGACGAAGACGACUGGGAUCCUGACUCCCCAACAAGCCAGCAAGGUUUUGAUCAACGGGGAAGAGGAUCAAGGUUUAAAGAUAUCAAAGAGGAUGAGUCUGAGGAUGAUGAUGACCUUGAUGAUCUUCCUAGAGUACGAAGACGAAAAUCAGAGACCUUUAGAACACAGUAUAUAAAUACAAAGGAACUCAGAAUAUGUGUUGGUACAUGGAAUGUUGGAGGACAGACUCCACCGGAUGACCUGGAUAUUGAUGGUUGGCUAGAUAUCAAUGACCCAGCCGACAUCUAUGUAAUUGGUCUUCAGGAGAUCGUGCCACUCAAUGCUGGGAAUAUAUUUGGCGCUGAAGAUAGCCGGCCAGUUAGUAAGUGGGAAAAUGUCAUUCGUGAAACGCUGGAUAGAUUUCGACCUGCCGGAAACAAGGUUAAAUCCUUUAGUGAUCCUCCAUCACCCUCAAAAUUUAGGCCAUCUGAUGAUGUCCCUUAUACGGAAGAGGAGAUAUUAGAUGAAAGUGAUAGUGAUAUUGGCAAUGAAGUGCAUCCAUUGGAUGACGAACCCAAAGAUUUUGGUGUCAGCAAUGGUACAUCAGUCACAAGCGAAACAGUGAAUGCUGAUGGUCCUGUUUCUAACUUUACUGAUAGUACUAAACCGGGGAUGCCAAUUGGAGAGGAUUUACAGAGGCAACAUUCUUCUCCAAAGAGAUUAGAUAGGUUAUAUUGCCUUCGGCCAGAUAAUUCUCCAUUAGAUGAAGACACUUCUGCUGUCCAACAUAAUGGCAAGUUAACCAAAAUGCUUAGUGGGUCUGAAAGAAUUGGUUUGAACUGGCCGGAGCGUCCAUUGAACUUGCUAUCUCAGCACUUAUUAGAGCGACGAAAUUCCUUUAGACCAACGAAGUCUUUCAAGUCCUCAAAAUCUUUCAGGACACACAAUUCUUUCAAGUUAGCUGCAAAUGACAUGGCACCAGAAUUAGCUUUGCUUGGAGAGAUUGAUCUUGAAUCUCUCAUGAAACGGGAACGAAGAUCAUCAUAUGUAAGGAUAGUAAGUAAGCAGAUGGUUGGGGUUUUCCUAACCGUAUGGGUUCGUAGGAGCUUACGAAAACACAUUCAGAACUUAAAGGUGUCAACUGUUGGUGUUGGUGUUAUGGGAUACAUUGGUAACAAGGGAUCUGUAUCUGUGAGUAUGUCCAUAUAUCAGACGCUGUUUUGUUUCGUGUGCACUCACCUGACAGCAGGUGAAAGGGAGGUAGAUGAAUCAAAAAGAAAUGCUGAUGUGCAUGAAAUUCAUCGGAGAACUCACUUUCAUUCGUUUUCUGGUAUUGGGCUUCCGAAAAGUAUCCAUGACCAUGAAAGAAUAAUUUGGUUGGGUGAUCUAAAUUAUCGUAUCAACUUGUCAUAUGAGAAAACACAAGAUCUUAUCUCCAAAAAGGAGUGGUCCCAGUUGGCUGAGAAGGACCAGCUUGCACGACAAUUGAAAAAAGGUCGUGCAUUUGAUGGAUGGUCUGAGGGUGUUCUAAAUUUCCCGCCAACGUAUAAGUAUGAGAUGAAUUCAGACAAGUAUUAUGGAGAGGAUCCAAAGGGUGGAAGGCGGACUCCAGCAUGGUGUGACCGCAUUCUUUCAUAUGGCCGAGGAAUGAGGUUACUGCAGUAUAGAAGGACUGAACACAAAUUUUCUGAUCAUCGACCAGUGACUGCUACUUAUAUGGCAGAGGUUGAGGUUUUUUCUGCUAGGAGGCUUCAGCGGGCCCUCACAUUCACUGAUGCAGAGAUUGAAAAUGAGGAAAUUGCAACAGAUAUGGGUAUUGAAGUUGGAAUGAACAACUUAAAAUUGGAACAGGGUAUAUCUGAUUGGGAUCGUUAACUGGUUAAGUGAGGCCACCGUAUACGCCACGCGUGGAAGUUCCAGCAAGUACAUAUACAACUUAUAUCAUUCUUUGCUGUGAUCACUUUGUCCAGCACAUAAUAAUGAUAUAUUUUGUCUGGCCAAAAAAAAGAAGAAGAGAAACGUUGAUGUACUUUUCUGAUAGAUUGUAAAUCGUAAAGGGUUGUUUGCGGUCGUGGAGCAUAUUAGUUGUACUCAUCACAUAGUAACGAAGAGUAAGUUUGCUUUAUACAUGUGCUAUAUUGUAUAAUCAAACCUUCUCGAGGAAGCUUUCUGGAAUUGUAAAUAAUAUAUGAGCACAAAUUAUUAAUGGAUCUUUUUAGAUGAUGUUUGGCGUU
Rosa chinensis is the source of this 2671-nucleotide RNA transcript. It is a transcript of the gene named type IV inositol polyphosphate 5-phosphatase 3, with no coding region annotated. The record is from RefSeq and is a predicted model, not a curated record. NCBI's taxonomy places the organism in Eukaryota, Viridiplantae, Streptophyta, Magnoliopsida, Rosales, Rosaceae. The transcript is spliced from 12 exons.